Molecule: long non-coding RNA, 784 nt
Organism: Oncorhynchus nerka (sockeye salmon)
Lineage: Eukaryota; Metazoa; Chordata; Actinopteri; Salmoniformes; Salmonidae
Exons: 2
Source: RefSeq, a predicted model, not a curated record
GUUAAACUCACCGUUUUGCUUGAAUAGAUCUUCAUCGUCUCCAUCUGUGGGACAUUCAGAACAGAGGAAGUGGGAAAAGCCCAGUCAGCAUAAAUAUAAAGUAGCUUGUAUUACAUUUAAAGAUUAGCAGAAGUUAUAUCGCUGUGCUUCAUUUGAGGGUUCACUCAUGGAACAUUAUCGGAUCAUCACGAUGAAGAUGUAUUCCAUACCUGCUACGUCUGCUGAUCCUUCACUCUCCUCUGAGGAAGCUGUAUGGGAAUAGAGAUGGGGAGGAUGGGACCAGAUUAACUCACAGCAACAUCUUACUGUGCAUCACGAAGGUCAUUCGUUACAUCUCUGCACGGUACUGGAGCAUAGCUACUCUCCUAUGAACUACUGCUGUGGGUAAAUAUAGAAUGAUUGAGGUGCCAUCCACGCCACUCAUGAACUCUAUACCUCUGUGGCUAGGGCAUUUAGCUCAUGGUAAAUGUAUCCAUCUUAAUAUGACCAGUUUCAGAGUUUUGUGGGAAUAACUAACUAUACCUUCAGAUAGAUGGUAAAACACUACUGUAGCAUACACAGGUUCAUAUCUUCUUUAUGUUGAACUGGGGUUGAUGUAAUAUGUAUGUAUUCUUUCUUCAAAAUAUACUUAAGUAUCAGCCUAGGUUCUUCUGAGGAGUUUUACACUUAAUAUUCUGCUAUCUCUGGAAGCUAUAGGACUCAGAGAGAGACAUUGUAUAUUUCUCGUGUGGAACACAUACAGGGCAUAAAAACAAAUUAAAGCUGAUCUGUGUGAUUAGAUCUU